AGAGUAGAGGUCGCGUGCUUCAAUAGUAGCUCACCGGAUGCGUUCAGGCGCAGUGGAACGUGAGAGAAAGGGGAGGACGCCGAAAGGUGCAGUACCUGAGGCUGUACGCUUGGGCAUACAGUGAAGAACUGUAUGACUCUCAUCAUUUCUGAUGGGGAGCUCUCUG
RNAcentral lists this non-coding RNA (166 nucleotides) under human gut metagenome. RNAcentral describes it as "Lysine riboswitch". It matches the Rfam family "Lysine riboswitch aptamer". Rfam says of the family: Riboswitches are metabolite binding domains within certain messenger RNAs that serve as precision sensors for their corresponding targets. Allosteric rearrangement of mRNA structure is mediated by ligand binding, and this results in modulation of gene expression. The record is from RNAcentral.